RNAcentral lists this transfer RNA (403 nucleotides) under uncultured Microcystis sp. Its description in RNAcentral is "partial contains 16S-23S ribosomal RNA intergenic spacer, and 23S ribosomal RNA". The stretch from base 135 to 208 matches the Rfam family "tRNA". Lineage: Bacteria; Bacillati; Cyanobacteriota; Cyanophyceae; Chroococcales; Microcystaceae. The record is from RNAcentral.
AAGGGAGACCUAAUUCAGGUAGGAGACGAAAAAAAAGUAGUCGCUACCAAGAAUCAAUCCCAAAAGGUCGGAGCGAGGCGAAAUUGGCUUUCAAACUAGGUUCUGGGUUCACACAAGACCUGAAUCAGGAACAAGGGCUAUUAGCUCAGGUGGUUAGAGCGCACCCCUGAUAAGGGUGAAGUCCCUGGUUCGAGUCCAGGAUGGCCCACCUGCACAGGUGGCAAAAACUAGAGAAGCGAGGAAUCAGCACCUUAUCUUAUCUAUAUAUAUAUAUAGGAGAGAAUGCUGGCUCUGAGUAAAGAGUCCAGAGGAACCUUGAAAACUGCAUAGAGCUAGGUGAAAAAGCCAAAAAAGAAGACCGCAAGGUCAAGCUAAUAAGGGCUAACGGUGGAUACCUAGGCAC